CGAUUUGAAUUGUCCAUAAGGAGCUUCAAUAGGAUUUCUUCUGGAAAAUUUCACCUAUAAUUGUCAUCAUUUGAAAUGUGCAGGCAUACUCUACUGUCGGUGCCCCUGAUUAUAUCGCUUCAGAGGUUUUGCUGAAGACGGGUUAUGGAAUGGAAUGUGAUUGGUGGUCACUUGGUUAUCAUAUUUGUAGUGUAAGAGUUCCUGUCAUACCUUUUAGUAAAUUUGUCUCUCUUGCUUCAUAUUUGUAGUGUAGUCUUAGGCUCCAUUUGGUCUUCACAUCAAUCUUUAUGAAUAUAUUUUUUUCUCAAACCAAAUGGAGCUUAAGCCACUUUUUAACUCCGCCAAUGCAACUUCUUGCAUUGCCGGUACCAAGCCCGGGUAAAGGAGGAGGGAGAAGGGCGUCAGGGCGAGCCAUGUCCUUUUCUUCCAUUUUCUGAAGCUGUUAUAGCUUUUGAGUUUACUACAACUAGAUAGUUUUUAAUUGGUGAUAACCACUUUCCCUUGAGAUCAAGCAAGAGCUGGGAGGAAGCGUUUUUCCAGCCUAGAGGGAGACCACAUCACAUUGGUUAAUGUAUAUCAGGCAUCUGUAGAGUGCUUGGAGACUAGCAAGAUGGCUAACAGUAAAAAGAAAACAAUUGGGAAAUGCUUGAGCAAAUGGUGCGGAGAAAUUUUCAUCAAUAGCCAUUCCCUGAGGCAUGCCUAUCUUUACCUUAGUUUGGUGGUUGUUAUGUCUUGGAUAUAAUGAGUUCUUAACUGUGAAUUAGGCGAUCCUCAUGGUUGGGCCAACCUAUUCGAGGGGCUGGAUGUCACAGGCUCUUGUUCAUUGAAGCUCUGUUUUUUUUCCCUCUUUUAAAGAUGUAUAGCUUUGUAUUGUUUAUAACCAUGUAUAACCCUAACCGAUCUGUGUAUUCACAUUGCUUAGUCAUUUCCAAUUUAACUACAUUUAUCUUUUAUUAUUAUUGUUUAAUUGACCAACUGAUGAUCAUAUAGGCAAAUUGGCAACAUAACAAACGGGACCCCAUCAUUGGCAUUUAUUAGGAACAUGAAGAACUUAAGUACCUUGUAAGUGAUCAGGAAAGAACAGUUUCUCAAUUUGAUGAGGAGUAAUCUCAUCCAAGCACUUUUUGAUGGCCUACCGCCUGGAACAGUCCACUUUGGCUGCUACAUCGUCUAAACUUCUCAUAUGAAUGAAAAGCCCCCCUUAGUUCUCCCAGAUGGAGAAUCAUUUAAUUAGAUGAGGGGCUUCUUUCUUUUUUUCUGAAUUGGUGAAUGAGGCACUACCGAAUGAUUUGAAGACAAAGCUCAGCAUCGACGAUGAUAUAGCAUCAAGUCUCAAAGACACUUUCCUGGGCCUCUGCAGGCAUGAUUGCCUUGAGAAAUAAGAAUCUUAAGAGGGCAUCUUCACAGACAAACCCAUCUAACUAUUGACACCCAGGAAUCUUCUGCUAUGGUUGCACGCAUGUUCCAAAAGAUCACUCGUGCCAUGCUUGCACUCCCAAAAACUCUUGAUCCGGUCACUCGUCAGCAACUACUUAUGCCAAUAUUCCAUCAAGAAUCAUUGCUAAGUGUACGGUUGUCAAUGGGCCGAGCUUGGGCUUGCAAAAUCAAAUUUUCAAAUAUCCUAGCCCAAGCCAACCUCGUGUUGAAGCUCCUGUGAGUCUACCACUAAGGCAUGAGUAAGGACCCCACACAUGUAUACAAGUUAGCUAAUGCACAUGUCUCCACAAUUGCCAGCAUGGUGGGGAGGCGCAAUAUCCAAGCCAUCAAUUCAGGUGCACCUCACCGUAUAGAAGUUUCGUCCCUAAGAUAAAUGUGGUCCAUUUGGUAGGUAUGCCAUGAUAUUAGAAAAUCAGUUGACAGGUUUGAAACUUUGGCUGAUAUUUCCAAUAAAAUCUAGGGCACAGUCUAUUGUUGGUAGUUAUCUUAUUCUUAUGGUCUUGGUUAAGAAAUGUACUACAACAGUAGUGACAUUUCUUUUUACAUGUUCCGUGAAAAUCUGAAGUAACUUCAAAGAGUUGAACAUAAACUGGGUUUAGUUUUGUCAGAGGGAAAUUUAUAAAAUUUAUCAGUAGAGAUAUCAACAUAAUGAAGACCUAGACCCAGCCUCAUUGAGUUUGGGUACCCAUUAGGUACCCACGUGUCUUCGGAUCUAGUUUUCAAGUUGGGUUCAAGGAAAAUACGAGCAUUUACA
Molecule: long non-coding RNA, 2191 nt
Organism: Magnolia sinica
Lineage: Eukaryota; Viridiplantae; Streptophyta; Magnoliopsida; Magnoliales; Magnoliaceae
Exons: 7
Source: RefSeq, a predicted model, not a curated record